UCCGUAGGUGAACCUGCGGAAGGAUCAGUCUCGAAUAAGUCUGAUUCCGGCUGAGCGGCUUUCUGCUGCUCGCCGGGUGGGCCCUCUGGGCUUUCACACCCCUUCUUGUGACCUCGGUCACGUUAAAUGGAGUGAGAGGUUACCCUCCACCCUGCUGUCGAGACGUUCGUUUCGGGUCUCGGCAGUGUGUGCCCCCACCGAACAUGCAUAAAUAUAUGGGGCAGGCCUCUGGCCAGAUGUACUUCACAACUAUCGAGAUAAUACAGUUUUAUACAACUGGUAGCGUCGGAUCCCUCGGCAUGGCUAUCGAUGAAGAGCGCGGCCAGCUGCGAAAUGUGAUGUGAAUUGCAACUCAAAGCGGUUAUCGUGAAUCAUUGACUACUUGAACGCAUUGCACCGCCCUCUCGGGAGUGGUACGUCCGAUUGAGUGUCAUAAUCCAUUCAGGCCCCUUGGUUCCAGUCGUUCGCUCGGCAACUGUCUGUGUGCUGCAAGCUGUCCUCUAUGGGCGGCGGAUGUGCAAAGACAUGGUUCUACUGUGGCUCUGGCUUCGAGGCUUCAUGGCGAUCUAUCGUCACGGGCCUUUAGAUGUAUUAGCGGUCGUCCUUGUUCAUACAAGUUUGACUCCACGUGAUGAGAUCAUGUCGUGGAGGAGUGCCUGGCACGCUUGUGGAUCUGGAGCUGCUGCGAACUCGCCCUUGGGCAACAACCUGCCUUCAUUGGUGGAUUUUAUGACAUUGGCCUCAGUCGGAUGGGAUUACCCGCUUGAUUUAAGCAUAUUAUUCAGCGGAGGAAAAGAAACUAACAAGGAUUCCCCCAGUAACGGCGAGUGAAGAGGGAAGAGCUCAAAGUGUGAAUCUGGCAGG
This 864-nucleotide ribosomal RNA is filed under the name Tulasnella sp. CLM309. Its description in RNAcentral is "partial 18S ribosomal RNA". The stretch from base 736 to 864 matches the Rfam family "Eukaryotic large subunit ribosomal RNA", at positions 1 to 129 of the family's 3401-position model. Lineage: Eukaryota; Fungi; Basidiomycota; Agaricomycetes; Cantharellales; Tulasnellaceae. The record is from RNAcentral.